RNAcentral lists this ribosomal RNA (488 nucleotides) under uncultured bacterium. RNAcentral describes it as "partial 16S ribosomal RNA". It matches the Rfam family "Bacterial small subunit ribosomal RNA", at positions 30 to 507 of the family's 1533-position model. The record is from RNAcentral.
UGAACGCUGGCGGCAGGCCUAACACAUGCAAGUCGACCGGUAACAGGAAGAAGCUUGCUUCUUUGCUGACGAGUGGCGGACGGGUGAGUAAUGUCUGGGAAACUGCCUGAUGGAGGGGGAUAACUACUGGAAACGGUAGCUAAUACCGCAUAACGUCGCAAGACCAAAGAGGGGGACCUUCGGGCCUCUUGCCAUCGGAUGUGCCCAGAUGGGAUUAGCUAGUAGGUGGGGUAACGGCUCACCUAGGCGACGAUCCCUAGCUGGUCUGAGAGGAUGACCAGCCACACUGGAACUGAGACACGGUCCAGACUCCUACGGGAGGCAGCAGUGGGGAAUAUUGCACAAUGGGCGCAAGCUUGAUGCAGCCAUGCCGCGUGUAUGAAGAAGGCCUUCGGGUUGUAAAGUACUUUCAGCGGGGAGGAAGGGAGUAAAGUUAAUACCUUUGCUCAUUGACGUUACCCGCAGAAGAAGCACCGGCUAACUCCGUG